GAGGCAGUGGAAGACAGGAGUGCCUGGCAUGCUCUGGUCCAUGGGGUCAUGAAGAGUCGGACACGACUAAACGACUAAACAACAACAACAAAAAAUUUUGACAAAUAAUUUGCUGGGGUAAAUCCUCUCCCAUUAUCUUUUAUUUGUUGUUUAGUCGUUUAGUCGUGUCUGACUCUUCAUGACCCCAUGGACCAGAGCACGCCAGGCACGCCAGACACGUGCUU
Non-coding RNA from Podarcis lilfordi (Lilford's wall lizard), 224 nucleotides. Lineage: Eukaryota; Metazoa; Chordata; Lepidosauria; Squamata; Lacertidae. The record is from the annotation of a GenBank genome assembly.